RNAcentral lists this ribosomal RNA (274 nucleotides) under uncultured bacterium. Its description in RNAcentral is "partial 16S ribosomal RNA". It matches the Rfam family "Bacterial small subunit ribosomal RNA", at positions 523 to 796 of the family's 1533-position model. The record is from RNAcentral.
AUACGGAGGGUGCAAGCGUUAUUCGGAAUCACUGGGCGUAAAGGACGCGUAGGCGGGUUGGCAAGUCAGAUGUGAAAUCCUACAGCUUAACUGUAGAACUGCAUUUGAAACUGCUAACCUAGAGUAUGAGAGGGGGAGAUGGAAUUAGUGGUGUAGGGGUAAAAUCCGUAGAUAUCACUAGGAAUACCGAAAGCGAAGGCGAUCUCCUGGAACAUAACUGACGCUAAGGCGUGAAAGCGUGGGGAGCAAACAGGAUUAGAAACCCUAGUAGUCC